GUCGACCGGCGCACGGGUGAGUAACGCGUAUCCAACCUUCCCAUUACUGUGGGAUAACCUGCCGAAAGGCAGACUAAUACCGCAUAGUCUUCGAUGACGGCAUCAGAUUUGAAGUAAAGAUUUAUCGGUAAUGGAUGGGGAUGCGUCUGAUUAGCUUGUUGGCGGGGUAACGGCCCACCAAGGCGACGAUCAGUAGGGGUUCUGAGAGGAAGGUCCCCCACAUUGGAACUGAGACACGGUCCAAACUCCUACGGGAGGCAGCAGAC
Molecule: ribosomal RNA, 266 nt
Filed under: uncultured Prevotella sp.
Lineage: Bacteria; Pseudomonadati; Bacteroidota; Bacteroidia; Bacteroidales; Prevotellaceae
Description: partial 16S ribosomal RNA
Rfam family: Bacterial small subunit ribosomal RNA
Source: RNAcentral